UUUUUUUUUUUUAGUAGUAAAUACGGCCAGUGGUACAGAAGGGCUCAACUACAAGUGACACUGGAUUUUCAUCUUGGGAGGGUCAGUGGCCCUAACCCCUGCAUUGUCCAACGGUCAGCCAUAGUUACUCUGAAUAUUGCCAGAGGGUUAAAGAAAAUCAUGUUGCUUCACACAAUGCCUGGGACACAAUCAGUGCCCAAUGCAUACUAUUUACAAUUAUGAAAAGCAAAGUCAAUAAGAAUGUUUCUGAACACAACCAAAAUUUAUGCUUCUAGCUGUGUAUGUGGCGCUGUCCAGAAAAACCAAAUACACUCCCUUUUGCUAUUACAUAAUAUUUGCAUUUCUGAGAACACAUGUAUAUCAACAAUUAUAAAAAUAACUGCUCCCAUGGGGAAAAGUGGUUUAGGAUCUCAAGUUUCAGACUGAUAAUGAAAGUUAUUUUCUGUAGGAAUUUAAUCAAUAACAAGGGCUUGUAGCUGUAAAACCUAAACAUCCCUGAGCAAAUCCAGCAUGUAAUCAUAUCCAAGUUUUGCUCCAAAGGUCUUUCCUUUUCUAUCUUUAAGACUAUUCUUUGUACUUUCUUAAACACAUCUUUAUUGCCAGUGGCUUCUCAUUAAGGAGGGUUAAUAAAGCCCCCAAAGUUAAGAUAAAUUGUAACUUAGGUCAUGAAGAACAUUGAAGGAAAGACCCCAAAGCCAGGUAAGUCAGCUGCCCAAACCAAGCAUCCCAACAACAGCUUUGCCACCCGCAGCUCUAGCUCCCGGGGAGGAAGGCUUCCUCCCCAUCUGUGACCACCUGGGAUGGAAACAACAUUCUCUCAUCUGCUGCACUGUCUGCAAUUUGUGGUAUUAAAGCUGAUCCUGCAUUGUACUGUAUCCUACCCAUGGUGCUAAAUAAAAUCUGUUAAUUCUGCUUACAAUCUAUAAUGAUUGGUGUGUUCAACGACUUUAUGGAGAAAGCUAAGCAACAUUAGCUAACACCUACAGCAACAUCACCUGUCACUUAUACACAUAAAGCUAUGAAACUCAUGAAGAUUUCUCUUCCUCGUAGCACAGUUUUGCUCUGCGCAGCCUCACUCGAAGUGGACAGCUCCCACAUUCAAAGACUGUACCUUUCUACAAAGCUAAGGAAAACAGCUUUCUCAGUCUUUUAUUCUCCAUUCUCCUUAGAAUCCCAGUGACUGAACCAUCUAAAUUCUUAAGGGUAAGCCCCAGCGUUCAAGACACAGACAAGAAAGCUGGCCCAUUUGAUAACUGAGUAAAAAGACAGUUAUCAAAUAUGAAGACAAAGAGGAUUCAAACAUCCUCAAAAUACUACCUAGGAGACAAGCACCAUAUAAGCUACAAGAUGCUGCAAGAGGAAGAGACCUAGGGAUGGGAUAGAAGAAAAGGCAGAGAAGUCUGGAAGAAAAGCAGAGCAUCUAAAGAUGUUUAACAGGAGUGAGUGUGAAAGAAACUGGAAUGGUAACAUCAGUACUUGGUUAGGGCAAAGUUACAAAUAAAAGCCCAGAAAUAUAUCCCUCCUCCCAACCACCCCCUUGUAGGUCAUCUCCUGACACAAGCAAGUGCCAUAAACCCAAACAGCAACAUCAAUGAUCACAGAGCACAUGGAGCAGUCUUCAUCCAGUACCUGCAACCAAGCACAGCAUCAUUGGGGCCCCAUUAAAGGGCCUUAACCAAGCUGUACUUGGCAGGACAGCAGCAGCCUAUAUUUGAAAGUCACUGUAAGAAUUGUUCCUAUGAAACUUACCACAUCACUCCCAGGGUGAUUUUCAUCAUAUUAUGAAUUCUUUUUAUACCUACCCUGGGUGAAACUUCUCUUUGGUCUGAACAUAAGGAACAGUUGUAGUUCUUCUGAGCAUUAUUCACUUUUUAUCCUACAGACUUGUAUAACCCAUCUGGUCUCACUGGCUGCUCGAGAGCAAAGAGCCAAAUGGCCCAGCCCUAGCAAGUCUGUGUCUUUAUGGUAUAUACAUGCUUACCCUAAAUACUGGCCCCAUUUCUGAAGUUUCCAGGCUUUUCGUCUUUUUAAUUUAUGCUAUAUUUUCAUAUUUUAUGUAUUGCAAGCUGCCUUACAUAUCUGGAGUAGAUCCAAGAAUAAAUUUAAGUCCACAAAUAAUAAACAUGGCUCUGUUUCAGAGGAUGAUCUUACCACACAGUAACCAUGUGUAUUCAUUUACCCUUUCGGAGACGUAUUCUGCAGGGAAAAUGGACCAAGUGCUGUACUAAGGCACAGAUGAUAUGAAAAUAAAAACAGAGCCUCUGCCUCUAGUCGGGAAGAGACAAAACAAGCUACAAAUUGCUAUAGCAAUAAAACAAGGACCUGAAAUGGAGAAUCAUGGGGACAGGGGUAUAUAUGUGCAGAAGGGGGUGUGGGGAACAUUUCAGAGAAAGUGACACAAUUCUGAAGGAUUGGGAGCUUGAAUUAGUGGUUGUUUAAAAAGGAAUGGAGGAGUUCCCAUCGUGGCUCAGUGAUUAAUGAAUCCGACUAGGAACUAUGAGGUUUCGGGUUCAAUCCCUGGCCUUGCUCAUGGGUUAAGGAUCCAGCGUCCCCAUGAGCUGUGGUAUAGAUCACAGAUGUGGCUUGGAUCUGGCAUUGCUGCAGCUGUGGUAUAGGCCAGCAGCUAAAGCUCCAAUUCGACCCCUAGCCUAGGAACUUCCAUAUCCCACACCUGCAGCCCUUAAAAAAAGAAAACAAAAAAGCCUUUUAACCAAGGCAGAGGGAACAGAAUGCACAACAUCAUGAGACAAGAGGACUGUUUAAAGACAUGAGGGAUAC
RNAcentral lists this long non-coding RNA (2778 nucleotides) under Sus scrofa (pig). RNAcentral's name for it is "lncRNA (ENSSSCG00015014554.1)". Lineage: Eukaryota; Metazoa; Chordata; Mammalia; Artiodactyla; Suidae. The record is from RNAcentral.